UACGGGGGGGGCAAGCGUUGUUCGGAAUUACUGGGCGUAAAGGGCUCGUAGGUGGCCAACUAAGUCGGACGUGAAAUCCCUCGGCUCAACCGGGGAACUGCGUCCGAUACUGGAUGGCUUGAGUUUGGGAGAGGGAUGCGGAAUUCCAGGUGUAGCGGUGAAAUGCGUAGAUAUCUGGAGGAACACCGGUGGCGAAGGCGGCAUCCUGGACCAACACUGACACUGAGGAGCGAAAGCCAGGGGAGCAAACGGG
This 253-nucleotide ribosomal RNA is filed under the name uncultured bacterium. RNAcentral's name for it is "partial 16S ribosomal RNA". It matches the Rfam family "Bacterial small subunit ribosomal RNA", at positions 524 to 776 of the family's 1533-position model. The record is from RNAcentral.